UGCAUCUGAGGCCAGUGAGGAUGAGAACCUCCGGGGGCAGGAGGUUCGACUCGAGCGAAGCGAGAGAACGUUGCGUCAGCAACGGCCCGCAGGGCGAGCCACGAAGUGGU
This 110-nucleotide small RNA is filed under the name Klebsiella pneumoniae. RNAcentral describes it as "partial RtT sRNA". It matches the Rfam family "RtT RNA", at positions 1 to 107 of the family's 130-position model. From Rfam's summary of the family: This family represents a bacterial cis-regulatory element known as RtT RNA. Lineage: Bacteria; Pseudomonadati; Pseudomonadota; Gammaproteobacteria; Enterobacterales; Enterobacteriaceae. The record is from RNAcentral.